This is a long non-coding RNA of Rhinichthys klamathensis goyatoka, 789 nucleotides long. RefSeq lists it as uncharacterized. The record is from RefSeq and is a predicted model, not a curated record. Lineage: Eukaryota; Metazoa; Chordata; Actinopteri; Cypriniformes; Leuciscidae. The transcript is spliced from 3 exons.
UAAUAUUCGAAUGAUGAACCGUUGCCGUAGGAUUAGCGUUUCGCGCGCUGUCUAUCUUGAGAUUGUCCACAAAAACCACUGUAUGAUAUUUGCAGUGACAUGGAGCGGUGGAACUUUUGCUAGCCUUGGUUUGUUUGUUUUGCCGGCGUCUUUGCCAGCGUAGUGAAGAAGAAGUGUGGCUUGUUUUGGUCCGAGUGGGCAGUGGUUGUGCAGAUGCCAUGCCAGCCCGUCGCUCUGCUCGGAAGAAACGCCCACACACACACACACACACACACACAAAGACACAGUGCCGUGUAGACGGAGGCCUUGGCGGUAUGUGGCAGAUACCCAGAGCUGCAACCCACUCCAAUGCGCCAAGAAGAAUCCCUCUGUUCAUGAGGUGGACCAUCACGACAGACUAAACAAGGGAAAAGGUCUUUCUCUUGUGUAAUCUGAAAAGAAUGAAAGACUUCCCAUGGCAUAGAUAGACAAUGAAAUAACAAGAAUUCUCUCUGAUAUACAGACUACACAAAUCUGCAAGGCUCCACCAUGUGGUCAAGAUGCAUAAUUGUUGCCAAACAUAACAACUGAUUCCCUGAAAUCGGUCUACAGAACCACAACAGUCUAAGCUGCACUAGGAUGUUUUUUCGAUCUGUGCAGAUUUUUAUAUAAAACAUAUUAUUAUAUUUUUUAAGGUUUUGUCAUUUUUUUUAAUGAAUAUGUCAAUGUUAAAAUGCUUUGUCCUGUCCCAGCUUGAAAUGCAGAGACGUCGGAGCUGUGGUACAGUGGAUUGUGCACAUAAUCGGGAUG